RNAcentral lists this non-coding RNA (114 nucleotides) under Agrococcus casei. RNAcentral describes it as "TPP sequence". It matches the Rfam family "TPP riboswitch aptamer (THI element)". From Rfam's summary of the family: Vitamin B(1) in its active form thiamin pyrophosphate (TPP) is an essential coenzyme that is synthesised by coupling of pyrimidine and thiazole moieties in bacteria. The record is from RNAcentral. RNAcentral also lists the same sequence under 1 other name. Lineage: Bacteria; Bacillati; Actinomycetota; Actinomycetes; Micrococcales; Microbacteriaceae.
AUGCGCAAACACGGGAGCUUGGUGGAUUUUCCAGGCUGAGAGGAGGGCACAAGCCCUCGACCGUCGAACCUGAACCGGAUAAUGCCGGCGCAGGGACGUUUCUCACCCGUGCCA